GUGGGGAAUUUUGGACAAUGGGCGCAAGCCUGAUCCAGCCAUGCCGCGUGAGUGAAGAAGGCCUUCGGGUUGUAAAGCUCUUUCGGCGGGGAAGAAAUCGCAUGGGUUAAUACCCUGUGUGGAUGACGGUACCCGAAUAAGAAGCACCGGCUAACUACGUGCCAGCAGCCGCGGUAAUACGUAGGGUGCGAGCGUUAAUCGGAAUUACUGGGCGUAAAGCGUGCGCAGGCGGUUUUGUAAGUCAGAUGUGAAAUCCCCGGGCUCAACCUGGGAACUGCAUUUGAGACUGCAAGGCUAGAGUGUGGCAGAGGGGGGUGGAAUUCCACGUGUAGCAGUGAAAUGCGUAGAGAUGUGGAGGAACACCGAUGGCGAAGGCAGCCCCCUGGGCCAAUACUGACGCUCAUGCACGAAAGCGUGGGGAGCAAACAGGAUUAGAUACCCUUGUAGUCC
Molecule: ribosomal RNA, 450 nt
Filed under: uncultured bacterium
Lineage: Bacteria
Description: bacterial SSU rRNA
Rfam family: Bacterial small subunit ribosomal RNA
Source: RNAcentral